CCUUUCCCCUCCUCGGCGCCGUUCUCCCUCUGAACAUCAGAGACGGUGGUCGUGCUAAACCUACAAAGGACCAAAGUCCCAUCGCCAGCCACCAAGCUUUCGUGGCCAAUUCGCUCCGGCCGCCCUCCAAACCAAUCGGUGAAGACUCUAGGCCACCCUAAACGAUCGAGACGCCUCAGCUUCCUCUUCUCUACCCAUUCUUCCUCUCAACCGAGACCUCUCACCCAAAGCACUAAGCCACCGCCUAAACUGCCGCAAAUCACCGCCGUUCCUCCUUCCGACGAAGCCUAGGUUAUUCUAAGUGAACCAAAAUAUUCGAACCCCAAACCUAAAUCCAACCCUUUCUAUUUUCUUCCCCGACAGUAACCCCUGGGAGCCGACCACCGCCGUUAAUCGGCUCUUCUCUUCCCCUUGGUCACCACAAACAGUGACCAAUCGAAUCACAAACCUAAAAAUCUCACAUGCAAACCCUGAAAUUUAAAUGAGACACCAAAAGCUUCUCCCAUAGCCCCUCUACUCCAGCGACGCGACCCUUCCAAGCGAAGAGAACUCAACCGAUAGGAAAAUGGGGAAACCUUUGCUUACAUUGAUGUGUCGAGAGAAAAAAUGCGAGAGGCUCAUAUUGUGUAUUGCUUUCGAAUGAAGGGGUGUAGCUCAUUGUUUGCUAUUGCUUUCGAAUGGGAGGAAGAGUCUCUCUUGUAUUCCUUUUCCCGAUGAUAACUCCAGCGAGGUUCCUUCUCUCAACGAAGUUAACUCUUUCCUCUGUUCAUGUUGAUGACGAGGCCUCUUUGCUGGUGUGAGUUUGUUAUUCCAUCUGCUACUGAGAGGAUGAUCCCAAUUGGUAGUGCACAACUGGCGUGAAGGAUAGGUGCCAACUCGGGGAACUUCUGGAAUAUUGGUGACGAGGCUCGGAUGUUGCUGGGAUAGCUCAUGUGGAGGAGAGGGAGGGGGCAUCUCUACUAGGAUUUGUUGUUGGGUUUAGUAAUGGGUCUCAACCGGGUCUAGGUCAUUUUUUUGAGACAAAUGGAUUGGGUUUAAGUUUGGGUUUGAACAUUUAUUUUGGGUUUUAUAAAUGGGGUGUUAUGUAUAAAUGGACAUGGAUAUUGUUUUAAUGGUUAAUUUUUGAUGA
Long non-coding RNA from Hibiscus syriacus, 1129 nucleotides. RefSeq lists it as uncharacterized. The record is from RefSeq and is a predicted model, not a curated record. Lineage: Eukaryota; Viridiplantae; Streptophyta; Magnoliopsida; Malvales; Malvaceae. The transcript is spliced from 3 exons.